RNAcentral lists this ribosomal RNA (503 nucleotides) under Lordomyrma azumai. RNAcentral describes it as "eukaryotic LSU rRNA". Lineage: Eukaryota; Metazoa; Arthropoda; Insecta; Hymenoptera; Formicidae. The record is from RNAcentral.
AAACCGUUCAGGGGUAAACCUAAGAAACCCAAAAGAUCGAACGGGGAGAUUCAUCGUCAGCGACGCUGGCUUCGCGUCGGUGGGCGAUGUCCCGCGGAGCCUCGCGGCUCGCGCGCGGACACGCUGCCGUGCGUCGAUGUCCGGCGUUCGUCGUCGUGCACUUCUCCCCUAGUAGAACGUCGCGACCCGCUGGGUGUCGGUCUACGGCCCGGGUGCGGUGACUGACGCGUCGCCGGUAAAACGGCACGCGUCAAACCCUCGGUCGCCCGGCCGGCUGCCCGGCGGUACACGCAAGGUAUCAGGCCGCACCUUACUCUACGAGUGCGUCGAGGCCGUCGCAAGCGCGCGCCACGGUACACGGAGGCUAACGGACCUAGUGCCGUCCCCGGUCCUGGCCCGCUGUUGGUCGUACGGUUAACCUUCGACAGGCCUACGAACGUCCCCCGGGAAAUCCGGGGGACCGAUACCGGUCGGCGACGCUACUGCUUUGGGUACUCUUAGGA